AUGGCUUCGCCUGCAGCAGCAGCAGAGUUCACUCGGGAAACUGUUCGCCGGUCACUGAUCGCAAUCUCUCAGUCCCUCCCUGAGACUUCGCUCCUGAACCCCAAGGCCAACCCACCAAGCACCACCCCUGGAGCAAACACAUAUCGUGAUGAUGGGGCAGCGAAGUGCAGAUCGAAGCUGAUCUCGAUCUCAUACCCGUCCACUCCUGAUGCCCUGUCCACGCCGUGCCCCCAGAAGAACGCUGCAACCGUGUGA
RNAcentral lists this ribosomal RNA (255 nucleotides) under Triticum aestivum (bread wheat). Its description in RNAcentral is "partial small subunit ribosomal RNA". The record is from RNAcentral. Lineage: Eukaryota; Viridiplantae; Streptophyta; Magnoliopsida; Poales; Poaceae.